GUUGUAUAGUCAAGUAAUUAAGUGCAUGUGGUGGAUGCCUUGGCAGUCAGAGGCGAUGAAAGACGUGAUAGCCUGCGAAAAGCUCCGGGGAGGCGGCAAAUAUCCUUUGAUCCGGAGAUGUCUGAAUGGGGGAACCCACCUACUUUAAGGUAGGUAUUGCAACAUGAAUACAUAGUGUUGCAAGGCGAACGAGGGGAAGUGAAACAUCUCAGUACCCUUAGGAAAAGAAAUCAAUUGAGAUUCCCUCAGUAGCGGCGAGCGAACGGGGAUCAGCCCAUUAAGUUAUGUGUGUUUUAGUGGAACGCUCUGGGAAGUGCGAACGUAGAGGGUGAUAUUCCCGUACACGAAAGGGCACACAUAAUGAUGACGAGUAGGGCGAGGCACGUGAAACCUUGUCUGAAUAUGGGGGGACCAUCCUCCAAGGCUAAAUACUCCUGACUGACCGAUAGUGAACCAGUACCGUGAGGGAAAGGCGAAAAGAACCCCUGUGAGGGGAGUGAAAUAGAUCCUGAAACCGCAUGCAUACAAGCAGUGGGAGCACCUUCGUGGUGUGACUGCGUACCUUUUGUAUAAUGGGUCAGCGACUUAUAUUCAGUAGCGAGGUUAACCGUAUAGGGGAGCCGUAGAGAAAUCGAGUCUUAAUAGGGCGUUUAGUUGCUGGGUAUAGACCCGAAACCAGGCGAUCUAUCCAUGAGCAGGUUGAAGGUUGGGUAACACUAACUGGAGGACCGAACCCACUGUCGUUGAAAAGCCAGGGGAUGACUUGUGGAUAGGGGUGAAAGGCUAAUCAAGCCUGGUGAUAGCUGGUUCUCCCCGAAAGCUAUUUAGGUAGCGCCUCGGACGAAUACCAUAGGGGGUAGAGCACUGUUUCGGCUAGGGGGUCAUCCCGACUUACCAAACCGAUGCAAACUCCGAAUACCUAUGAGUACUAUCCGGGAGACAGACUGCGGGUGCUAACGUCCGUAGUCAAGAGGAAAACAAUCCAGACCGCCAGCUAAGGCCCCAAAAUCAUAGUUAAGUGGGAAACGAUGUGGGAAGGCAUAGACAGCUAGGAGGUUGGCUUAGAAGCAGCCACCCUUUAAAGAAAGCGUAAUAGCUCACUAGUCGAGUCGGCCUGCGCGGAAGAUGUAACGGGGCUAAAACUAUGUGCCGAAGCUGCGGAUGUAUACUUUGUAUACGUGGUAGGGGAGCGUUCUGUAAGCCGAUGAAGGUGUGUUGAGAAGCAUGCUGGAGGUAUCAGAAGUGCGAAUGCUGACGUGAGUAACGACAAAACGGGUGAAAAACCCGUUCGCCGAAAGACCAAGGGUUCCAGUCCAACGUUAAUCGGGGCUGGGUGAGUCGACCCCUAAGGCGAGGCCGAAAGGCGUAGUCGAUGGGAAAAUGGUUAAUAUUCCAUUACUUCUGUGUAAUGCGAUGAGAGGACGGAGAAGGCUAAAUCAGCCUGGCGUUGGUUGUCCAGGUGAAAGGAUGUAGGCAUGUAUCUUAGGCAAAUCCGGGGUACUCUAUGCUGAGAUCUGAUAGCAAGCUGUACUUGUACAGCGAAGUGGUUGAUGCCAUGCUUCCAGGAAAAGUCUCUAAGCUUCAGUUACACAGGAAUCGUACCCGAAACCGACACAGGUGGUCAGGUCGAGUAGACCAAGGCGCUUGAGAGAACUCUGCUGAAGGAACUAGGCAAAAUGGUACCGUAACUUCGGGAGAAGGUACGCUGUUGUUGGUGAUGGAACUCGCUUCCUGAGCUGACGACAGCCGCAGAAACCAGGCCGCUGCAACUGUUUAUUAAAAACAUAGCACUCUGCAAACACGAAAGUGGACGUAUAGGGUGUGAUGCCUGCCCGGUGCUGGAAGGUUAAUUGAUGGGGUUAGCGUAAGCGAAGCUCUUGAUCGAAGCCCCAGUAAACGGCGGCCGUAACUAUAACGGUCCUAAGGUAGCGAAAUUCCUUGUCGGGUAAGUUCCGACCUGCACGAAUGGCAUAAUGAUGGCGGCGCUGUCUCCAGCAGAGGCUCAGUGAAAUCGAAAUCGCUGUGAAGAUGCAGUGUACCCGCGGCUAGACGGAAAGACCCCGUGAACCUUUACUGCAGCUUGACACUGAACUUUGACCUUACUUGUGUAGGAUAGGUGGGAGGCUUUGAAGCUGGAACGCAAAUUCCAGUGGAGCCGUCCUUGAAAUACCACCCUGGUAAUGUUGAGGUUCUAACUCUGUCCCGUGAUCCGGGACGAGGACCGUGUCUGGUGGGUAGUUUGACUGGGGCGGUCUCCUCCUAAAGAGUAACGGAGGAGUACGAAGGUGCGCUCAGCGUGGUCGGAAAUCACGCGUAGAGUAUAAAGGCAAAAGCGCGCUUAACUGCGAGACCCACAAGUCGAGCAGGUACGAAAGUAGGUCUUAGUGAUCCGGUGGUUCUGUAUGGAAGGGCCAUCGCUCAACGGAUAAAAGGUACUCUGGGGAUAACAGGCUGAUACCGCCCAAGAGUUCAUAUCGACGGCGGUGUUUGGCACCUCGAUGUCGGCUCAUCUCAUCCUGGGGCUGAAGCAGGUCCCAAGGGUAUGGCUGUUCGCCAUUUAAAGAGGUACGCGAGCUGGGUUUAGAACGUCGUGAGACAGUUCGGUCCCUAUCUAGCGUGGGCGCUGGAAAUUUGAGAGGAUCUGCUCCUAGUACGAGAGGACCAGAGUGGACGAACCUCUGGUGUACCGGUUGUGACGCCAGUCGCAUCGCCGGGUAGCUAUGUUCGGAAGGGAUAACCGCUGAAAGCAUCUAAGCGGGAAGCCUACCUCAAGAUAAGAUUUCCCUAGGACUUUAUGUCCUCUAAAGAGCCGUUCGAGACUAGGACGUUGAUAGGUUGGAUGUGGAAGCAUAGUGAUAUGUGAAGCUGACCAAUACUAAUUGCUCGUGAGGCUUGACUAUACAACACCCAAGCAGUUG
RNAcentral lists this ribosomal RNA (2918 nucleotides) under Acinetobacter baumannii. RNAcentral describes it as "bacterial LSU rRNA". It matches the Rfam family "Bacterial large subunit ribosomal RNA". The record is from RNAcentral. Lineage: Bacteria; Pseudomonadati; Pseudomonadota; Gammaproteobacteria; Moraxellales; Moraxellaceae.